This 409-nucleotide ribosomal RNA is filed under the name uncultured Methylomirabilota bacterium. Its description in RNAcentral is "bacterial SSU rRNA". It matches the Rfam family "Bacterial small subunit ribosomal RNA", at positions 1026 to 1434 of the family's 1533-position model. Lineage: Bacteria; Methylomirabilota (SeqCode). The record is from RNAcentral.
GCGUGGAGACAGGUGGUGCAUGGCUGUCGUCAGCUCGUGUCGUGAGAUGUUGGGUUAAGUCCCGCAACGAGCGCAACCCUCACCCCUAGUUGCCACCGGGUAAAGCCGAGCACUCGAGGGGAACUGCCAGCGUCAAGCUGGAGGAAGGCGGGGAUGACGUCAAGUCAUCAUGCCCCUUACGUCCUGGGCUACACACGUGCUACAAUGGCCAGUACAAAGGGAUGCGAGACCGCGAGGUGGAGCUAAUCCCAAAAAGCUGGUCUAAGUUCAGAUUGCAGUCUGCAACUCGACUGCAUGAAGGAGGAAUCGCUAGUAAUCGCGCAUCAGCCCGGCGCGGUGAAUACGUUCCCGGGCCUUGUACACACCGCCCGUCACACCACGAAAGCUUACUGUACUCGAAGUCGCUGAG